AUCAUUUGCAGCAAUAUUAAUGGAACUGGAGAAUAGCAUGUUAAGUGAAACAAGCCAAGGCAAAGAAACAGAAAUAUUACAUAAGAAUCUGUGACAUCUAAAAGCUGAUCUCAUAGAAGUUGAGAGAAGAAGAGUGGUUCCUGGGAACUAAGAGUAGCUGGCAGGAGGGAAUCCAUAGAAAGAUUUUCCAUGGAAACCAAUUUUAGAAAAAAUAAAUUCUGUUGUUCUAUUGCACAAUAGAGUGACUAUAGAUAAUGAAAAUGUACUUAUACAUUUUUAAAAAAGAACUAGAAGAAAUAAUUUUGAACGUUUUCAACACAAGGAUAUUAUAAAUGUUUGGGGAACCAGUUAUGUUUACCCCGAUUUAAAUAUUAUACAAUAUAAACAUGUAUUGAAACAUCACAUAGUACCUCAGAUACUAUUUUAUGUACAAGAAAAUUAACAAUACAUUACAGUUUAUUUUCCAGUAAAAUGUUAUCAAUGUUUUGUUGGAGUUGAAUUCUAAAACUUAUCUCACAAAUUCCUAAAAUUUAUCAGACAUGGGGAUGUCUCUAUAUUCUAUGUAUAAACAUCAAAAACCAAGUCAAAAAUGUCAUGGAAAAUAAAAUAUGACAUGAUUAUAAAAAUAUGAAGAACUCCUGGAAUAUAAAAUCUAUGUAUUCUAUUUGUAGGAAAGAACAACAACUAAAACAUGUAUAUGGUAUGAAUACCUGCCAGUUACCAGAUGACGAACAUUUCAGUGUUGCGAAUCAAAACCAGGGACUCAUGCAUACUAGGUAACCACUGAGUGGAGACUUGAAGCAUCCGAGAAGAUGACAGAAAAUAGCCUCUAUGCAGAAAAGGAAGUCAACGCUUUUGUGCAUCUGACCACAAACACCAGAGAGAAAUGCUUAUUAAAUCCGGAAGGCUGUAAUGGCUUAACUGGAUUUUAAUAGAAAUUGCACAUAGAAUGAAGUAUUUGCAAUCAUAGACUCACUUCGUCGUACCUGUGGUUUAACAACGUAGUUGGUCUCCUGUUGUGUUCCUGCCACAUCAGAAUUUUUUUCAACUUUUAUUUUUUGAAAUAAAUCUAACUUGUGAUUGCUGCACUCAUUUGGUAGAUAGAUACCCGUUACACUUCAUGAGCUCAGUGGUUGUGACAAUGGGCCUGACAUGCCACUCAGGAAAAGGGGCAUUGAUGAAUAUCACCAGUGAAACCUAGAAUGCCAUUAUGGGUGCUCUUCUGCUAGAAAGGUCCAGAAAGAUAAAUUGUUUCCUAUCUUUUAUCUGGAUCUCUAACACUGUGCCACCUCUCCACCAUAACCUACGGUGUUCUUUCUUUUCAGUUUUCAGAUGUUGACUUAUACCUACUUAUAAAAAGGUAUAAGUGGUAACACACUCGCCUGGUAUGCGUGGGGCGUUGGGUUCGAUCCUCAGCACCACAUAAAAAUAAAGAUGUUUCCACCAAAAACUGAAAAAUAAAUAUUAAAAACUUUUCUCUCUAAAAAACAAGUCAGGGGGACAUAACAUGCACAUAUCAUAGCCAAAGCAAGAGUGUGUCACCUAUGAUUCCAUUUGCUGAAGCUCAAUCUUUGAAAAUAAACAAGAAAAGCAAUAAUAAUGUGUUACGGUAAAUGUCAUUGCUAAUUGUUGUCCUCUAAUUAUCCUGAUAGAAAGCUAUAAUAAGUUUAUUGUUUAUGUUUUUUUUCCCUGUGACUUUUCCUGCUAUUCUCACUUGGCUCCUCUUUAACUCUUGCUUAAUAAAACCCUUGCCUAACAUCCAAGCAACAAAUCCUUAAGAAAGCCAACUGAAUUCUCAAUGGCCAAGAUGCACUUGUUGGCCUUGGGUGUCUUACAAACCCUGUGUAUACCAUCAUCAGAGAGGACAACUGGGCUGAAAGUCUUCCUAUGCUCCACAAGUUCUAUGCUCCGUUCAUCUCCAUUAUUCUUUUUGCCCCAGAAAGCCAAUGUGUAUAAACAAGGGGUUUUAAUAAUCUGUGAUUUCUGGAAAAUUUUGACCAGUUGGAAGCUGUGCAGCUCAGAGAAAGAAUGAAAUCAGCAUUUUCAUUCCAAUAGAUUACUCCUUAGACUAAUCAUGUUCCUGAGCCUCAAGUCAAGGAUUACUUUCAAGGUGGUCUUCCAUGAAUGACUACCUGCCCCAUGGUUAUACAAACUCUUUCUCUCCUUAUUUCUUCAACAUGAUGAGUUUACAGGCCUGCUGCUCCAUAGCUUUGGAUUUGUUAAUCAUUGUACUACACUCAUUUCUGUAAAUAUCCUCUUUUCAAGGAGCUGCAUAACAAAUUUUCAAACCUGUUGAUUUUAUUGAGAACCAUUUUAUUUUUCCUCAUACUCUUUAGUGUUAGGAAGUUUAAGAAGACCUGGUUGAUCAAUUCUUCUGCUUACUAUGUUCAUUUGGUGGCAUUAAUUUAGAAGAUGGACAGGAAUAUUCAAGAGGUAUAUUCAGCAGUAUCCUUGGAGCAUUGGUAGAAACAGCUGGAAGACAGGAUCUGAUGGGCCCUACUGUUUUCAAUGUCCUUGCAGGACAUCUCCAUCUUCUCUUUGCAGCAGGAUAGUCACUUUUACAUGGU
This is a non-coding RNA of Ictidomys tridecemlineatus (thirteen-lined ground squirrel), 2567 nucleotides long. Lineage: Eukaryota; Metazoa; Chordata; Mammalia; Rodentia; Sciuridae. The record is from RefSeq and is a predicted model, not a curated record.